Long non-coding RNA from Musa acuminata AAA Group (dessert banana), 4753 nucleotides. RefSeq lists it as uncharacterized. The transcript has 2 exons. NCBI's taxonomy places the organism in Eukaryota, Viridiplantae, Streptophyta, Magnoliopsida, Zingiberales, Musaceae. The record is from RefSeq and is a predicted model, not a curated record.
UCGGCCAUUCAAAACCACAUCCACAAACCCUCAGGUCGUCCUUCCAUAAGUUAACCCGCGUCGGAAGAGCUCUCUCCUUCAAUCGCUCACGGCGGGCAUGGGGGAGGUUGGCGGAUCCAAGAAGAGGAAGCGCGAGCCAUCAGCAGUGAAUGGAGGGGGCAAGCCCAAGUUGACGUAGCUUAAGAAUGCCGCCUCCAAGCCGACGAAGCUCAAAACGCAAGGCUUCAAGAAGCAGUCCAAGGCAUUCGAGUUAAAACCGGGAAAGCCUACCAAAUCCGGCGAUGAGGCCGCUAUACAGGCGAAGAAAGAGCCUAAGACCCCAAGGGAGAGGUGCUUGGCUGCCAAGGUUUGCUCCACUGCCUUCAUCUGGUUGCCUGAUUUUAUUUGGGGCUUUUGGGUUUCAUUGUAGUACAGUUAGAUGUUUGCUGAAUGAUUCAUUUUUUUCUCGGUCUUUGUGCUUUAUAAGAUUGAAUCGGACUGAGUAAUCUUUGUAUUUAAUUGAUUAUUUAUUUGAUGUAGAGACUCCAUUUUCUUGAACCCUUUGUAAGAGUACUGAUGGACGAGAUCUCCUAUUUCUUAAUUCGAUUGGCCUAACUGAAUAUUCUUGGAAUUCAAUUGUUUUUGACAUAGACCCUUCAUUUGCUUGGUUCCUUUGGUGUAAGAGAAGGCUGGCAGACGAUAGAACCUAUAUACUAGUAUACUUCAAUUUAUGUAUGCUGCUAUCUAUAUUUCUUUAAGAUGGAGUGUAAUCCAUGAAGGUUAAUUGUCGUGGAGAGGCUUCUAAGCCUCAUGGCAACAUGCAUUAUUGCUCUACCAUUUAAAAUGCCAACUUUAGUUUAAUUUGAAUUUAAACUGUGAUGUCUGAGAAUGUUCCCAGAUUUUUUAUAUCAUUUGGUUUGUCCAAGAAAUGGCUAAAACAAGGAAGAAGAAGAGGAAACCAAAUUACAACCAUGAGAAAGUAAGCUUGAUUUUAACUGCACAAACAUCUUCUCUUCCUGUAUUACUCUGCAUCUUCUGUUAAGUUGCCUAAUAAUUACAUGAUUUAUUCCAACAAUUUCUUAUUUGAAUGGUUCUUGGAAUCACUUGUUGGUUGUUGUUGUUAUUUUUUCUUGUGUUUGUAGGUGUAAAUAGCCUAAUCAAAACCAAUAGUUUGAUCCACUUGUUAUGUUUGUGUCUUAGUUUCAGCAGGAUUUAGUAGCCUCAAUUGUUUGGUUGAAUUUUGUUUACUAUGUCUCGUGGCAUGUGCGAUGUCAACAAGGUGAAGCUUCAGGGACAUGAUGCUGUGCCAGGGUUUUUGUCGGCAUAUUAAAUCUCUCGUGUGAUAGACAAACACUUGUUCUAUAAUAAGACACAUUGACGUUUGAUCUACGUGUCACAGUUGAUUUAGGCUUAUGAUGUGCAACACUUAGGUUGAAAUUGAGGGUUUAGUUAUUUUUGGUAUAAGAAGGGAUAACAUGGAAAUGAAGGCAACCAACCAUGUUUCCAGAAACUUAGAAAUAGGGCAAAAGAAAAAGACCAAGACGUAAGUCAGUGGACACUGUCUUGGAAACCAAGGAUUGUCCUUUCAUGGAGAAAGGAUUUGCUGAAUGAAGUUGGUCUUUGCUGGUUGGUAAGUCCAUGCACAACAUGUCGCAAUUGACAUGACAGUCCUUGGUGAAAACUUAAUGCUAAUAAGCUACUAUACUGGUCUCCUGGGAGAGAUGAGUAAGGAAAGCUCCGCCAACAAGAAUGAACAAUAUUGAUGGCAGCUAAGAAUAUAGAAUGGAGAAGAAAAACCCAUGUGUCAUUGGUAGCACAUUUAAGCCGUUAGUUCGUUGUGUCCUGUAUGAGUGCUCCACUUUUUGAUACUAGAUUUAUAUGUUUGGAUGUCCCAGAUCUAGUACAACUAGUCAUUGGGAGUGGUAGUCGACGUUACGAGGGCUAUUGAGUGUCGAUAGAGGAUCAUCCACUCUCGGCAUCAUGAGAGAAAUAUCCCAUGUGUUCUUGCUCAGACAAAUCCCUGGCCAGGGUCAUUCGGAUUGAGAGAGAAAGAGUUCUCCGGGAGAAUCCGAUUAGAGCGAGACUCAAGAAGAAACCGUAUGGGUCUGACAGCACCUUACCCGAUAUACGGUCUUUGAGAUAUUAGAUGGAUGAGGGACUAUAGGAAUACGAUAACUAAGGACAAACAAGUCCAAUGGAUUGGAUUCCCCUGUAUCGUUUGGGGACUACGGCAUAGUGGCCUAGUACGUCCGUAGUCGAUGAGUCGAGUGAAUUAUUAUAGAGAUAAUAAUUCACUAAGUUAGAAAGAGUUUUGACAGGUAUGACUCACGGCCAGCUCGAUAUUGGGCCUAGAGGGUCACACACAUAUGGUAAGCAUUGUGAUGAGUAGAGGUUCGGAUAUGAGAUAUCCACCGGAGCUCCUAUCUUAUUGGAUAUCCAAUAAGCCCCUGAAUUAUUGGAUCCCAUGAACGAGAUCUAAUAAGAGCCCAUGAGAGAUUAUUGGAUAGAGAUCAACUAAUCUAAAAGGCUUGGGUAAUUGGAUGUAGAUCCAAUACCCACUAGGGGAGGAUCCAUUAGGGUUUGACAGGGGACCUCUAUAAAUAGGAGGGAUUCAAUGGUUCAUAGGCUAGAGCCUAUGUUUGCCUCUCCUAUUUUUCUCCCUCUCUCCACCUCAGAGUAGGCCUGGAGUUUUGAGGAGCGUCGUCAUAGCCCUACUUUGUGGAUCACCGCUAGAGAGGAGGACGCUUGACCUCCUUCACCCUCUCCUAGAGAUCUACAAGGAAACAUGGAUAUAUGAUCUCCUUAGGUAACACAAUCUAUUCUAUAUACAGUAUGUUUCGCUGAUUUUUGCUCACCAAUCUUCGCACGACGACGAACAUCUAUUUGGAAAAUUAGGGAUUUUGUUUUCUUAUUCUUCCAUUGCGCAUGUGAUAUCGCCCCCAAGAUUUCCCAACACCAACACAUCAGGGAGUCAAAAGUGCCAUAUAGGGCCAUCUGGGCCCAAAAGGUGGCGACGUGCUCCGCUAGAUCAGAGCCACCAUCAUAGGCCUCCAACGUCGAGAGGUGAAAGUUGAGGGGGAUAGGCUUGUCCUGAAUAUCUUACGCAAAGGAGGGACCCAGCCAAGGUACUUUCCCUGAGCUCCUCCUUGGAUUUAUGAAAUUCCUUUUGAACCUCGUCCAAGCACCAAUUCACCAACCGUAAUUGGGCCCAGAACGAGUCAUCCAUCGAGUCGGACGAUAAAGUGUUGGGUUCGGGGAAGGUCGAGGUAGCACGUCUGGGCACAACAACAUUGCGCUCUGCCAUUGGCCUUGGGUGUCUUGAUUGCUCCCUAGUUGGUGGGUUGGCAUCUAGAGCCAGAGGUGGCUGGUCAACCGGGGUGGUUGUUGAAUCUCGUAUUUUGAUGAAACCAAUUGAUAAGUGUUUAUGAUUUGAUCUGCAUUUUUAGUGACGCAGGAUGCUUCGAUCAGGAUGAGACAAUUAAAGCAGGAAGAAUCAUGUUGGGCCGGAGGAAAACAUAUCAGAAGAUUGGACGUCGGGCCAGAGGAUUGGUUGACGUAUCGACAGAAGGCUUCGGGCCAUGGAUUUGGGCAUUGGCCCAAGAAGGGCGGAUAUUGCGCCAAGGAUAUCAGAGUUGCGGAGUCAAUUGGACGAUUGGGCAAUAGGCCGUAAGAGAGGACGAUGCGUCGAAGAAUCGGACGAAGCAUCGAUGGACCAAUGACAUGUCGGACAACAUGAUUCAAGCUUAGUAAUAAUUGUCUAGAUCGAAGUGUGUUUUACAUGUGUAGGAUUAACUAUGAUAGCAAGGCAUGAAACAAAAUAAAGUCCUAGAGCUAAGGACGCGAUUUCGUUAAGAGUUCGAGAGUUUAUCGGAAGACCAAACGUUCGUCGAAAGUUCUACAGGAACCAACCGAGAAGUCCAGUAGCUUGCUAGAAGAAGCUCGUCGGAACUCGCCAAGAAGAUUGUCGUGAAGUACAGGAGCUUACCGGAAGUCCGUUGGAACAUUGCCGAGAGAUUGUCGGAAGUUCGACGGAAGAUCACCGGAAGCUCGCCGGAAGAAACUAAGAACUAGGGACUGGAUUUGGGCCAACCCAAUUAGGGGCCGGUUGGGCCCAUGUAAGAACUAUGUUGGGCCCAAUGAAAAGGCCUAAAUAGUGCCCCAAUAGGUGACACCAUCGUGGCACAGUCUCCGAGACAAAUCAAGCUAAUCCGAAGAAGGAAGCACUUUGGGACAAAUCAAGCUCAUCCGAAGACAAAAAGAAAAUCAACAAAGGCGAAGUGGCAAACUACGCCUUAACGGCUUUCUACAACGAGGUUCAUGACAUUCUCAGAUAUAUGUGAGACAUAAGUUCACAAUUUUGAGCAAUCCACAGGAAUAUCAUUAUUAUCAGGGAAAUGAAGAACUCCGUAUGCCAGAUACCUCAUGCCAGUCCAAUGAGAACACAAAAAAUGCAGACAACUGAUCUAAUCUAUCACACAAGGAUUGGCAGAAGGAUAGUUACAGACUACACUUGCCAAAUUUGGCAGAAGGAUAGUUCCUCUAGUCCAACAGUAAGCACUAAACAGAUUCCUACAGACAUAAGCACAGUCUACCGCAAGUCCUGUCAUGCUUUCUUGCACUUGCAGUUCUCUUGUUCUUGCUUUAGGACCUGAAUGAGAAAAUUAAUGCUAGAAUAAGAUUACAAGCAUCGAAUCCAUGGAAACAGGAAGCUUAUCCCUAAGAUGAAAAGAAUGAAUAUGGAUGGUAGAAUUAAUAUGUUGAUUGUGUUGGAUGA